RNAcentral lists this ribosomal RNA (440 nucleotides) under uncultured bacterium. RNAcentral's name for it is "partial 16S ribosomal RNA". It matches the Rfam family "Bacterial small subunit ribosomal RNA", at positions 338 to 795 of the family's 1533-position model. The record is from RNAcentral.
CCUACGGGUGGCAGCAGUGAGGAAUAUUGGUCAAUGGGCGGAAGCCUGAAGCAGCAACGCCGCGUGGAGGAUGAAGGUUUUCGGAUUGUAAACCCCUUUUGUUAGAGAAGAUAAUGACGUUAUCUAACGAAUAAUCACCGGCUAACUCCGUGCCAGCAGCCGCGGUAAUACGGAGGGUGCAAGCGUUACUUGGAAUCACUGGGGGUAAAGGGCGCGUAGGUGGGAUAGCAAGUCAGAUGUGAAAUCCUAUGGCUUAACCAUAGAACUGCAUUUGAAACUGUUAUUCUAGAGUAUGGGAGAGGUAGGUGGAAUUCGUGGUGUAGGGGUAAAAUCCGUAGAGAUCAAGAGGAAUACUCAUUGCGAAGGCGACCUGCUAGAACAUAACUGACGCUGAUGCGCGAAAGCGUGGGGAGCAAACAGGAUUAGAUACCCGAGUAGUC